Molecule: non-coding RNA, 72 nt
Organism: Penaeus indicus
Lineage: Eukaryota; Metazoa; Arthropoda; Malacostraca; Decapoda; Penaeidae
Source: the annotation of a RefSeq genome assembly
GUCUCUGUGGUGCAGUGGUUAGCAUGAUCGCUUUAUACGCGAAAGACUUGGGUUCGAUUCCCAGUGGAGGCA